This 281-nucleotide ribosomal RNA is filed under the name uncultured bacterium. Its description in RNAcentral is "partial 16S ribosomal RNA". It matches the Rfam family "Bacterial small subunit ribosomal RNA", at positions 556 to 793 of the family's 1533-position model. The record is from RNAcentral.
CGAGACGUUAAGUACGGUAAUUACGUGGGACGUAAAGCGCAUGCAGGCGGCCUAGUUAAGUCAGAUGUAGAAACGGCCCGGGGACUUUAACCGUACGGUAAGUUGCUAUUUAGUAAACGUGGCGAGGCUAGAGUCUUGUAGAGGGGGGUAGGAAUUUCAGGUGUAGCGGUGAAAUGCGUAGAGAUCUGAAGGAAUACCAGUGGCGAAGGCGGCCCCCUGGACAAAGACUGACGCUCAGAUGCGAAAGCGUGGGGAGCAAACAGGAUUAGAUACCCUGGUAG